GACUGNCGGUGACAAACCGGAGGAAGGUGGGGAUGACGUCAAGUCCUCAUGGCCNUUACGNCCAGGGCUACACACGUGCUACAAUGGCUGAUACAAAGGGUUGCGAUACCGCNANGUGGAGCUAAUCCCAUAAAAUCGNNCCNAGUUCGGAUUGGAGUCUGCAACUCGACUCCUUGAAGGCGGAAUCGCUAGUAAUCGCGAAUCAGAAUGUCGCGGUGAAUACGUUCCCGGGCCUUGUACACA
Molecule: ribosomal RNA, 243 nt
Filed under: uncultured bacterium
Lineage: Bacteria
Description: partial 16S ribosomal RNA
Rfam family: Bacterial small subunit ribosomal RNA
Source: RNAcentral